RNAcentral lists this small RNA (36 nucleotides) under Acididesulfobacillus acetoxydans. RNAcentral's name for it is "CRISPR spacer". Lineage: Bacteria; Bacillati; Bacillota; Clostridia; Eubacteriales; Peptococcaceae. The record is from RNAcentral.
GGAAUUUGCCUGAGAUUGCCAGUGACUGGAUAGGCA